GAUGAACGCUGGCGGCGUGCCUAAUACAUGCAAGUCGAGCGAACGGACGAGAAGCUUGCUUCUCUGAUGUUAGCGGCGGACGGGUGAGUAACACGUGGAUAACCUACCUAUAAGACUGGGAUAACUUCGGGAAACCGGAGCUAAUACCGGAUAAUAUUUUGAACCGCAUGGUUCAAAAGUGAAAGACGGUCUUGCUGCCACUUAUAGAUGGAUCCGCGCUGCAUUAGCUAGUUGGUAAGGUAACGGCUUACCAAGGCAACGAUGCAUAGCCGACCUGAGAGGGUGAUCGGCCACACUGGAACUGAGACACGGUCCAGACUCCUACGGGAGGCAGCAGUAGGGAAUCUUCCGCAAUGGGCGAAAGCCUGACGGAGCAACGCCGCGUGAGUGAUGAAGGUCUUCGGAUCGUAAAACUCUGUUAUUAGGGAAGAACAUAUGUGUAAGUAACUGUGCACAUCUUGACGGUACCUAAUCAGAAAGCCACGGCUAACUACGUGCCAGCAGCCGCGGUAAUACGUAGGUGGCAAGCGUUAUCCGGAAUUAUUGGGCGUAAAGCGCGCGUAGGCGGUUUUUUAAGUCUGAUGUGAAAGCCCACGGCUCAACCGUGGAGGGUCAUUGGAAACUGGAAAACUUGAGUGCAGAAGAGGAAAGUGGAAUUCCAUGUGUAGCGGUGAAAUGCGCAGAGAUAUGGAGGAACACCAGUGGCGAAGGCGACUUUCUGGUCUGUAACUGACGCUGAUGUGCGAAGGCGUGGGGAUCAAACAGGAUUAGAUACCCUGGUAGUCCACGCCGUAAACGAUGAGUGCUAAGUGUUAGGGGGUUUCCGCCCCUUAGUGCUGCAGCUAACGCAUUAAGCACUCCGCCUGGGGAGUACGACCGCAAGGUUGAAACUCAAAGGAAUUGACGGGGACCCGCACAAGCGGUGGAGCAUGUGGUUUAAUUCGAAGCAACGCGAAGAACCUUACCAAAUCUUGACAUCCUUUGACAACUCUAGAGAUAGAGCCUUCCCCUUCGGGGGACAAAGUGACAGGUGGUGCAUGGUUGUCGUCAGCUCGUGUCGUGAGAUGUUGGGUUGAGUCCCGCAACGAGCGCAACCCUUAAGCUUAGUUGCCAUCAUUAAGUUGGGCACUCUAAGUUGACUGCCGGUGACAAACCGGAGGAAGGUGGGGAUGACGUCAAAUCAUCAUGCCCCUUAUGAUUUGGGCUACACACGUGCUACAAUGGACAAUACAAAGGGCAGCGAAACCGCGAGGUCAAGCAAAUCCCAUAAAGUUGUUCUCAGUUCGGAUUGUAGUCUGCAACUCGACUACAUGAAGCUGGAAUCGCUAGUAAUCGUAGAUCAGCAUGCUACGGUGAAUACGUUCCCGGGUCU
Molecule: ribosomal RNA, 1372 nt
Filed under: uncultured bacterium
Lineage: Bacteria
Description: bacterial SSU rRNA
Rfam family: Bacterial small subunit ribosomal RNA
Source: RNAcentral